GAUGAACGCUGGCGGCGUGCCUAAUACAUGCAAGUCGAGCGAACAGACGAGGAGCUUGCUCCUCUGACGUUAGCGGCGGACGGGUGAGUAACACGUGGAUAACCUACCUAUAAGACUGGGAUAACUUCGGGAAACCGGAGCUAAUACCGGAUAAUAUAUUGAACCGCAUGGUUCAAUAGUGAAAGACGGUUUUGCUGUCACUUAUAGAUGUAUCCGCGCCGCAUUAGCUAGUUGGUAAGGUAACGGCUUACCAAGGCAACGAUGCAUAGCCGACCUGGGAGGGUGGUCGGCCACACUGGGACUGGAACACGGUCCAGACUCCGACGGGAAGCCGCAGUAGGGAAUCAUCCGCGAUGGGAGAAAGCCUGACGGAGCAACGGCGCAUGGGUUGAGGAGGUCUUCGGAUCGGAAAACUCUGUUAUUAGGGGAGGACAAAUGUGUAAGUAACUAUGCACGUAUUGACGGUACCUAAUCAGAAAGCCACGGCUAACUACGUG
This 497-nucleotide ribosomal RNA is filed under the name uncultured bacterium. RNAcentral describes it as "partial 16S ribosomal RNA". It matches the Rfam family "Bacterial small subunit ribosomal RNA", at positions 28 to 507 of the family's 1533-position model. The record is from RNAcentral.